RNAcentral lists this ribosomal RNA (376 nucleotides) under uncultured organism. Its description in RNAcentral is "partial 16S ribosomal RNA". It matches the Rfam family "Bacterial small subunit ribosomal RNA", at positions 527 to 896 of the family's 1533-position model. The record is from RNAcentral.
GGAGGGCGCAAGCGUUGUUCGGAAUUACUGGGCGUAAAGCGCGUGUAGGCGGUUUGGAAAGUCGGAUGUGAAAUCCCCGGGCCUAACCCGGGAACUGCAUCCGAAACUUCCUAACUGGAGUCCCGGAGAGGAAGGCAGAAUUCCCAGUGUAGGGGUGAAAUCCGUAGAUAUUGGGAGGAAUACCAGUGGCGAAGGCGGCCUUCUGGACGGUGACUGACGCUGAGACGCGAAAGCGUGGGGAGCAAACAGGAUUAGAUACCCUGGUAGUCCACGCUGUAAACGGUGCGUACUAGGUGUCGGGGGUAUUCACCCCCUCCCGGUGCCCGCAGGUAACCCCAAUAAGUACGCCCGCCUGGGGAGUACGGUCGCAAGGCUA